GACGAUCAGUAGCCGACCUGAGAGGGUGAUCGGCCACAUUGGAACUGAGACACGGUCCAAACUCCUACGGGAGGCAGCAGUGGGGAAUAUUGCACAAUGGGCGAAAGCCUGAUGCAGCAACGCCGCGGGAGUGAUGAAGGCCUUCGGGUCGUAAAACUCUGUCCUCAAGGAAGAUAAUGACGGUACUUGAGGAGGAAGCCCCGGCUAACUACGUGCCAGCAGCCGCGGUAAUACGUAGGGGGCUAGCGUUAUCCGGAUUUACUGGGCGUAAAGGGUGCGUAGGCGGUCUUUCAAGUCAGGAGUGAAAGGCUACGGCUCAACCGUAGUAAGCUCUUGAAACUGGGAGACUUGAGUGCAGGAGAGGAGAGUGGAAUUCCUAGUGUAGCGGUGAAAUGCGUAGAUAUUAGGAGGAACACCAGUUGCGAAGGCGGCUCUCUGGACUGUAACUGACGCUGAGGCACGAAAGCGUGGGGAGCAAACAGGAUUAGAUACCCUGGUAGUCCACGCUGUAAACGAUGAGUACUAGGUGUCGGGGGUUACCCCC
This 544-nucleotide ribosomal RNA is filed under the name Clostridioides difficile. RNAcentral describes it as "bacterial SSU rRNA". It matches the Rfam family "Bacterial small subunit ribosomal RNA", at positions 275 to 841 of the family's 1533-position model. The record is from RNAcentral. Lineage: Bacteria; Bacillati; Bacillota; Clostridia; Peptostreptococcales; Peptostreptococcaceae.